GCCUCCUUAGCUCAAUCGGUAGAGCAGUUGACUCUUAAUCAAUUGGUUCGGGGUUCGAGUCCCCGAGGGGGUACCA
This 76-nucleotide transfer RNA is filed under the name Opitutia bacterium. RNAcentral's name for it is "tRNA-Lys". It matches the Rfam family "tRNA". From Rfam's summary of the family: Transfer RNA (tRNA) molecules are approximately 80 nucleotides in length. Their secondary structure includes four short double-helical elements and three loops (D, anti-codon, and T loops). The record is from RNAcentral. Lineage: Bacteria; Pseudomonadati; Verrucomicrobiota; Opitutia.